UACGUAGGGGGCGAGCGUUGUCCGGAAUCAUUGGGCGUAAAGCGCGUGUAGGCGGCUUGGUAAGUCUGGUGUGAAAUCUUGGGGCUCAACCCCAAACCUGCACUGGAUACUGUCAAGCUUGAGUCCGGGAGGGGAGAGCGGAAUUCCUAGUGUAGCGGUGAAAUGCGCAGAUAUUAGGAAGAACACCGGUGGCGAAGGCGGCUCUCUGGAACGGUACUGACGCUGAGCCGUGAAAGCGUGGGGAGCAAACAGG
Molecule: ribosomal RNA, 253 nt
Filed under: uncultured bacterium
Lineage: Bacteria
Description: partial 16S ribosomal RNA
Rfam family: Bacterial small subunit ribosomal RNA
Source: RNAcentral